AUCAAGUGGCAGAGCUGAUGCUGGAGUCUCAGGCGAGAGCAGCACCCUUUGACCUUUUCAACUCUUACCCGCCUGAUUCUAGAGCCACCCGGAUUGGAAGCGGCUAAACGGCCUCCCACCCUUAAUCUCACUGUCUGAAUGAUAAAUCCUGCAGGACUUCUCCUUCCAUUCAAGCCCUUCACACUCUCCUUUGAGGAGCUGCUGCCUCCACCCCCCGACUUGUGUGACCUGAUGACCAAUUGGAGAUGCCACAAGGAACAAAACUCAGCGAGGCCAGAAGAGUCGUUUGGUGCCCAAACUGCCACUCUAGGAAAUGUCUGCAAAUUCAUCCGUGUAAUGUAGUUGAUCAAUGAGGACAACAUGGUGGGUUUGCAUUCUCUCUCGCCCCAAGGAAGCUCAGAGGAACAAAAUGGUAACUGAUCACUUGGACUUUGUUGUCCAGUAAUCAUGAAAGACACAAAGGAUCCUGGUUCUUCUCCCUAUGAUGAGCUGCAAUCCCGAGGAUUUAUUGUGAGAUAAGGGGGCAGAUUCAAGGGUACAACAGUCUGUGGUCUUGAAAUAGGACAAAGGUAUUGGUUCCUUACAGGAAUGAAGCCAGUG
RNAcentral lists this long non-coding RNA (600 nucleotides) under Sus scrofa (pig). Its description in RNAcentral is "lncRNA (ENSSSCG00015050472.1)". The record is from RNAcentral. Lineage: Eukaryota; Metazoa; Chordata; Mammalia; Artiodactyla; Suidae.